RNAcentral lists this transfer RNA (76 nucleotides) under Acidobacteria bacterium RIFCSPLOWO2_02_FULL_68_18. Its description in RNAcentral is "tRNA-Thr". It matches the Rfam family "tRNA". From Rfam's summary of the family: Transfer RNA (tRNA) molecules are approximately 80 nucleotides in length. Their secondary structure includes four short double-helical elements and three loops (D, anti-codon, and T loops). Lineage: Bacteria; Pseudomonadati; Acidobacteriota. The record is from RNAcentral. RNAcentral also lists the same sequence under 4 other names.
GCCGGCGUAGCUCAGUUGGUAGAGCAGUCGAUUCGUAAUCGACAGGUCGUCGGUUCAAGUCCGACCGCCGGCUCCA